GCUAAUACCGGAUGUGCCGAGAGGUGAAAGAUUUAUUGCCUAGAGAUGAGCUCGCGUCUGAUUAGCUAGUAGGUGUGGUAAGAGCGCACCUAGGCGACGAUCAGUAGCUGGUCUGAGAGGAUGAUCAGCCACACUGGGACUGAGACACGGCCCAGACUCCUACGGGAGGCAGCAGUGGGGAAUUUUCCGCAAUGGGCGAAAGCCUGACGGAGCAAUACCGCGUGAGGGAGGAAGGCUCUUGGGUUGUAAACCUCUUUUCUCAGGGAAUAAGAUUGAAGGUACUUGAGGAAUAAGCAUCGGCUAACUCCGUGCCAGCAGCCGCGGUAAUACGGAGGAUGCAAGCGUUAUCCGGAAUGAUUGGGCGUAAAGCGUCCGCAGGUGGCACUGUAAGUCUGCUGUUAAAGAAUGAGGCUUAACCUCAUAAAAGCAGUGGAAACUACAGAGCUAGAGUGCGUUCGGGGCAGAAGGAAUUCCUGGUGUAGCGGUGAAAUGCGUAGAGAUCAGGAAGAACACCGGUGGCGAAGGCGUUCUGCUAGGCCGCAACUGACACUGAGGGACGAAAGCUAGGGGAGCGAAUGGGAUUAGAUACCCCCGGUUAAUAAAC
This 604-nucleotide ribosomal RNA is filed under the name Desmonostoc muscorum AUS-JR/BS/MS/NT-063. RNAcentral describes it as "bacterial SSU rRNA". It matches the Rfam family "Bacterial small subunit ribosomal RNA", at positions 162 to 807 of the family's 1533-position model. RNAcentral also lists the same sequence under 1 other name. Lineage: Bacteria; Bacillati; Cyanobacteriota; Cyanophyceae; Nostocales; Nostocaceae. The record is from RNAcentral.